UAAAGGUUUGAAGACAACCGCACUCCAUCCUUCAAAGCCUGGUGAGCCCUCGUGCAUAUGGCAUGGUCCUUAAGAGAGGAGCAGCUCAGCAUUCUCAGGAGGGCUGUUAAAAAUUACAAUAUCAAAAGAAAACUCCAUUCAUGUGCUGCCAGCUAGUUUAGUCACAUUCCCUUCUUUUGGAGACAUUUUACAACAACUAAGCUGAGGCUCAAACCUUAUUACCUUUUUGGCAAUGUUCU
Molecule: unclassified non-coding RNA, 239 nt
Filed under: Hevea brasiliensis (rubber tree)
Lineage: Eukaryota; Viridiplantae; Streptophyta; Magnoliopsida; Malpighiales; Euphorbiaceae
Source: RNAcentral